GCCGCCUCAUCAUUCUUCGAUCUAAUAUUGCUUGAGGCUCAAAUUGAAUUUAUCUAUUAGAAGAGAUCUUGGGCAAAUAUUGCUGAGAGAUGAUGUUAUCAUCAAGUUUCUUUUUAAGAUAAGAAACAUGAAACACAGAAUAGAUCUUUGAAUGCUUUGGUAGAUCAAGACCGUAAGUAAUAGAACCAAUACACUCCAAUACCUUGUAUGGGCCAAAGAAGCA
This 223-nucleotide long non-coding RNA is filed under the name Elaeis guineensis (African oil palm). Its description in RNAcentral is "long non-coding RNA (EGUI_LNC006756)". Lineage: Eukaryota; Viridiplantae; Streptophyta; Magnoliopsida; Arecales; Arecaceae. The record is from RNAcentral.